CAGGCUCAGUCUCAGCCCCACACAGUUUCAGGUUAUCCUCAGUCCCGUUAGCCAGUUUCUGCGCAGGCUCAGUCUCAGCCCCACAGUCAGUUUCAGGUUACCGUCAGUCCCGUUAGCCCUUCUGCGCACGCUCAGUCUCAGCUCCACAGUCAGUUUCAGGUUACCAUCAGUCCCGUUAGCCAACUUCUGCGCAAACUCAGUCUCUUCCCUCUCACUGUCAGUUUCAGGUUACAGUGCCCCGUUAUUCGAC
Long non-coding RNA from Antechinus flavipes (yellow-footed antechinus), 250 nucleotides. RefSeq lists it as uncharacterized. The transcript has 3 exons. NCBI's taxonomy places the organism in Eukaryota, Metazoa, Chordata, Mammalia, Dasyuromorphia, Dasyuridae. The record is from RefSeq and is a predicted model, not a curated record.